UACGUAGGGGGCAAGCGUUGUCCGGAUUUAUUGGGCGUAAAGAGCGUGUAGGCGGCCUGAAAGGUCAGCUGUGAAAACUCGAGGCUCAACCUCGAGACGCCGGUGGAAACCAUCAGACUAGAGUCCGGAAGAGGAGAGUGGAAUUCCUGGUGUAGCGGUGAAAUGCGCAGAUAUCAGGAAGAACACCCGUGGCGAAGGCGGUUCUCUGGGCCUGUACUGACGCUGAGGAGCGAAAGCGUGGGGAGCGAACAGG
This 253-nucleotide ribosomal RNA is filed under the name uncultured bacterium. RNAcentral's name for it is "partial 16S ribosomal RNA". It matches the Rfam family "Bacterial small subunit ribosomal RNA", at positions 524 to 776 of the family's 1533-position model. The record is from RNAcentral.